RNAcentral lists this transfer RNA (67 nucleotides) under Marmota monax (woodchuck). Its description in RNAcentral is "tRNA.Gly". It matches the Rfam family "tRNA". Rfam says of the family: Transfer RNA (tRNA) molecules are approximately 80 nucleotides in length. Their secondary structure includes four short double-helical elements and three loops (D, anti-codon, and T loops). The record is from RNAcentral. Lineage: Eukaryota; Metazoa; Chordata; Mammalia; Rodentia; Sciuridae.
GGUUGUGGCUCAGAGGUAGAGCACUUGCCUACCAUGCAUGAGGCCCUGGGUUCAAUCCUCAGCACCA